This 81-nucleotide small nucleolar RNA is filed under the name Homo sapiens (human). Its description in RNAcentral is "Z23 small nucleolar RNA". It matches the Rfam family "Small nucleolar RNA SNORD81". Rfam says of the family: U81 is a member of the C/D class of snoRNA which contain the C (UGAUGA) and D (CUGA) box motifs. Lineage: Eukaryota; Metazoa; Chordata; Mammalia; Primates; Hominidae. The record is from RNAcentral.
UGCAGAAUACAUGAUGAUCUCAAUCCAACUUGAACUCUCUCACUGAUUACUUGAUGACAAUAAAAUAUCUGAUAUUCUGCA